This 459-nucleotide ribosomal RNA is filed under the name uncultured bacterium. Its description in RNAcentral is "partial 16S ribosomal RNA". It matches the Rfam family "Bacterial small subunit ribosomal RNA", at positions 338 to 795 of the family's 1533-position model. The record is from RNAcentral.
CCUACGGGUGGCAGCAGUGAGGAAUAUUGGUCAAUGGCCGAGAGGCUGAACAAGCCAAGUCGCGGGAGGGAAGACGGCCCUACGGGUUGUAAACCUCUUUUGUCGGGGAGCAAAGCGAGUCACGUGUGACACAUGGAGAGUAGCCGAAGAAAAAGCAUCGGCUAACCCCGUGCGAGCAGAAGCGGCAAUACGGAGGAGGCGAGCGUUAUCCGGAUUUAUUGGGUGUAAAGGGUGAGCAGGCGGAGGUGAAAGUCGGCGGUCAAAGUGAGGAGCUUAAACGCAUACAGCCAUUGAAACUGGACAGCUAGAGUGCGGGAGAGGAUCGUGGAAUGCGAGGUGUAGCGGUGAAAUGCGUAGAUAUAUGGAGGAACACCAGUGGCGAAGGCGACGUUCUGGCCUGCAACUGACGCUCAGGCACGAAAGCGUGGGGAGCAAACAGGAUUAGAUACCCGUGUAGUC